GCAGUGGUGGUUCAGUGGUAGAAUUCUUGCCUUCCACGCAGGAGACCCAGGUUCAAUUCCCAGCCAGGGCA
Molecule: transfer RNA, 71 nt
Filed under: Loxodonta africana (African savanna elephant)
Lineage: Eukaryota; Metazoa; Chordata; Mammalia; Proboscidea; Elephantidae
Rfam family: tRNA
About the family: Transfer RNA (tRNA) molecules are approximately 80 nucleotides in length. Their secondary structure includes four short double-helical elements and three loops (D, anti-codon, and T loops).
Source: Rfam by way of RNAcentral